Long non-coding RNA from Corythoichthys intestinalis (scribbled pipefish), 610 nucleotides. RefSeq lists it as uncharacterized. Lineage: Eukaryota; Metazoa; Chordata; Actinopteri; Syngnathiformes; Syngnathidae. The transcript has 3 exons. The record is from RefSeq and is a predicted model, not a curated record.
UCCUUUGAUCUCUAUUGGUGCUGACAGAUGAUUAAUGACCCCCGCCCCCGGACCCCUUUUGAUCGUAGUCCUUUGAUCACUAUUGGUCAUGGCAGAUGUUUAACAACUUUGAAGUUUAGCGCAUGCGUGCUAGGCGUGUUAUGGGUUAUGUCCGUACAUGUCCCCCCUAGAAAAAAACGUAGUGUGUGGAGGGGGCGUGUUUAGCGCAUGCGUGCUAAUGCGUGUUCCGGGGACAUGUCCGUACAUGUGAAUCGGAAGUAGUAGGGCGUGUUUAGCGCAUGCGUGCUAAUGCGUGUUCCGGGGACAUGUCCGUACAUGUCCUAACGAAGAAUCGGAAGUAGUAGGGCGUGGCUAGCGCCUGGGCUAGUCGUAGCCAAAGCGAGCUAACCGGCAUUCUCAACAAGCUACCGUGAGGGGAGCCAUGAUUAACGAGACGUGUGUUAACAUUAGCCCUCAGCUGGUGAAGACUGCUUUUUACCAGAGGUUAAAGAAAUCAACAUUUCAAACUAUGAGUUGGACCUAAGGUCUGAUGCGGAGGACACUGAAUUGACACAUCACGCGUCGACACCGGCUUCUUCGCCAUCCCUACUAUGGGACCUUGGUGAUUCGG